GCGAAAGUGAUAAGUUAGCCACCUGGGGAGUACGUUCGCAAGAAUGAAACUCAAAGGAAUUGACGGGGGCCCGCACAAGCGGUGGAUUAUGUGGUUUAAUUCGAUGAUACGCGAGGAACCUUACCAAGGCUUAAAUGGGAAUUGACAGGUUUAGAAAUAGACUUUUCUUCGGACAAUUUUCAAGGUGCUGCAUGGUUGUCGUCAGCUCGUGCCGUGAGGUGUUAGGUUAAGUCCUGCAACGAGCGCAACCCCUGUCACUAGUUGCCAUCAUUCAGUUGGGGACUCUAGUGAGACUGCCUACGCAAGUAGAGAGGAAGGUGGGGAUGACGUCAAAUCAUCACGGCCCUUACGCCUUGGGCCACACACGUAAUACAAUGGCCGGUACAGAGGGCAGCUACCUAGCGAUAGGAUGCGAAUCUCGAAAGCCGGUCUCAGUUCGGAUUGGAGUCUGCAACUCGACUCUAUGAAGCUGGAAUCGCUAGUAAUCGCGCAUCAGCCAUGGCGCGGUGAAUACGUUCCCGGGCCUUGUACACACCGCCCGUCAAGCCAUGGAAGUUUGGGGUACCUGAAGUCGGUGACCGUAACAGGAGCUGCCUAGG
Molecule: ribosomal RNA, 599 nt
Filed under: bacterium
Lineage: Bacteria
Description: bacterial SSU rRNA
Rfam family: Bacterial small subunit ribosomal RNA
Source: RNAcentral